CAAAAAGGCUGCUGCUGAUUAUUCUACUUAUCAACCACCACCACUUGAAGGAGCUUCUGCUUAAGUCAGAGGCUGGUCAUAUGAGACCUUACCAAAGAGAGAUGCUACACGUUUUUUUUCGUGCAGUGAAAAAGUUUGGAAACGAUAGCCAAAUGAGGUUGAUAGCUGCAGAGGUUGGUGGGUCUGUUGAAGCUGCUCCAGUAGAUGCUUUUUGAUGUUUUAUUAGAUGGUUGCAGAGAAGCAGUUAAAGGAAGACUAUGGACCCUAAGGGCCAUUGUUGGAUUUUUUUGGUGUUCCUGUGAAGGCUGAUGAUGUAUUAAAAGAAAGAGCUUCUCAACUUCUUCAAAUGAGGUAUUGACUAUGCUGUUGCUAACAAUGAAAUCUCUGGAAGAGCUCCAGAUCUUCCCUAUUUGAUAAAACAGGAAACUUCAAGCACGGAUAAAAGAUCUUGAAGAUGAAAGAGCAGAACAAGCUAAUGAGAUGAAGCAAUGUAAAGAGUAUAUAUUUGAACUUGUAAUCCAUGCAGAAGCUCAAGCUUUAUAGUAUCAGCAGAAGUUCAAGUCGUUGGAAUCAAUGGUUAGUUUAAUGAAGACAGGUCCAUCAAAGUCUAGCUUAGAAGCACAGUUAUUGGGAAAAAGCUUUGUAAGAGGAAGGGGUAGUUCAGCAUUAAGAUGUAUUGGGAAUUUAGUCCAACAGAUGAACACAGAGAAGGAUCAGGAACUAUCAUUGGCCAAGGCUUGUCUACAUGAGCUAGAAUCAGUAGCAUCAAGUCGACAAAAAGAGAAACAAACAAACAAACAAAUGUAGAAAAAGAAAAGAGAGAUGAUUACAAGGUAUGUGAAAGAGGAAUGGGCAUGGUUAUGUUCUUUAUGCACAGUGCUUCUUACUUCAAAAACAAUUCUAUUACCAUGAGAAAAGAUUGUCCAUGUCAUGUGCUACAAUCCAAGUUUACAAAGAGACAUCUGGAUUGACUGUGAAUGAUCCUGUUUCACAGACACACAAGUUUCUGUCUAGUUGAAUGCUGGAUUUUGAUAUCUGGUUUCCCUAAUAGUGGUUUGGAUUGAAUGAAAGAAGUAGCAAUGUAUCAUCAUUGAUCUGGAAAUCAAUUGCACUAACCUCUUCACUUACCUUCAGCCUCUGUCAGCGGAGUUGCUGUAAAUGAAGGAGAGAAUGUGGAUAUUAAAUUUACCAAUGGAGUUUCUAUAAACACCACCGUUUAACAUAUUUGCUGAUGUGAGCACCCAUUCUUAACUCCAAUCGAAGCAGAAAUCCCUAUAAUAUUCGGAGAAUGGUGGAAUUUACCUGUUUAUAUUUGAAACUGAAAUGAACCAGUAUGUGGCAGAUAAAUUGAAGAUAGGAAAAUGGAAUGUUAACUUAUUACAGGUAUGGAGAAUGCCAAAAUUGUGGGUUGGAUUUCUGAAAUGCAUUUCACAAACACAACCACAUUCUUUUCGUUUUUAUUAAAAGUAUGGGUUGUAUUGAAGCUUGGAUUCUUGGAAAAAGGUAUGUUACUACAUGUGUAUUAAAUUUUAAUAUUUUAUAACAUAGAUUGAUGAUGCUUAAAGCCUUUUUGAAUACUAAUGUGUUGAUGAUGAAAACAUAUAUCAUGUGGAAACAGAAGUAUAACAAUAAGAAGAUGCUCCUUAAUAGCAAUGUAGUAUUAGGUUAUAUAGUUAGCGAAAACCUCUUAAUGACAAAGUACAAUCAGAUCCCCUUAAUACCAAUGUAUUACAAUUUUAUGACAUGAUGUUAUGGAUGCA
Lactuca sativa (garden lettuce) is the source of this 1760-nucleotide long non-coding RNA. RefSeq lists it as uncharacterized. The record is from RefSeq and is a predicted model, not a curated record. Lineage: Eukaryota; Viridiplantae; Streptophyta; Magnoliopsida; Asterales; Asteraceae.